GACGAACGCUGGCGGCGUGCUUAACACAUGCAAGUCGAACGGAAAGGCCCUGCUUUUGUGGGGUGCUCGAGUGGCGGACGGGUGAGUAACACGUGAGUAACCUGCCCUUGACUUUGGGAUAACUUCAGGAAACUGGGGCUAAUACCGGAUAGGAGCUCCUGCUGCAUGGUGGGGGUUGGAAAGUUUCGGCGGUUGGGGAUGGACUCGCGGCUUAUCAGCUUGUUGGUGGGGUAGUGGCUUACCAAGGCUUUGACGGGUAGCCGGCCUGAGAGGGUGACCGGCCACAUUGGGACUGAGAUACGGCCCAGACUCCUACGGGAGGCAGCAGUGGGGAAUAUUGCACAAUGGGCGGAAGCCUGAUGCAGCAACGCCGCGUGCGGGAUGACGGCCUUCGGGUUGUAAACCGCUUUCGCCUGUGACGAAGCGUGAGUGACGGUAAUGGGUAAAGAAGCACCAGCUAACUACGUG
Molecule: ribosomal RNA, 468 nt
Filed under: uncultured bacterium
Lineage: Bacteria
Description: partial 16S ribosomal RNA
Rfam family: Bacterial small subunit ribosomal RNA
Source: RNAcentral